Molecule: small nuclear RNA, 102 nt
Organism: Chionomys nivalis (European snow vole)
Lineage: Eukaryota; Metazoa; Chordata; Mammalia; Rodentia; Cricetidae
Source: RefSeq, a predicted model, not a curated record
GUUAUUCUCUACCACUUUUUUAUAAAUUGGAAUGAUACAGAGAAAAUAACAUGAUUCCUGCACAAUGACAGCAGGCAAAAUCAAAAUGUUCCAUAUAUAUAU